Non-coding RNA from Myotis lucifugus (little brown bat), 165 nucleotides. The record is from Rfam. NCBI's taxonomy places the organism in Eukaryota, Metazoa, Chordata, Mammalia, Chiroptera, Vespertilionidae.
AUCGGUUUUUGGCCUUUUGCCUAAGAUCAAGCAUCGAUAUCUGUUCUUAUCAGUUUAACAUCUGAUCCAUUCUCUAUCUGAAUGGGUUUUGGGAGGGGGGAGAUGGAAUCGGAGCCUGGUCCAUCCAUGCUGUGCAUCCACCUGGCCAGGAAUGGUGCAACCCCU